Oxyura jamaicensis (ruddy duck) is the source of this 1890-nucleotide long non-coding RNA. RefSeq lists it as uncharacterized. The transcript is spliced from 2 exons. NCBI's taxonomy places the organism in Eukaryota, Metazoa, Chordata, Aves, Anseriformes, Anatidae. The record is from RefSeq and is a predicted model, not a curated record.
UUAACAGGGCUGCUAAUUAAAGAUAACCACUUUGGAAGCCAUGGAGCCAUGGCCAGCUUCCACCAGAGCAAGGCACGCACAUCGCCAGCGAGGGGUCCCGCUUGCACAGAGGAGACAGUGGAGAGGAGGGUGAGGUGCUGAAGCAAUGCCUGUUAGUUACAGCUCGUUACAGGUAUCAUUUAUGCGGCUUAAUAUAAACGCAAAAGGUGAAAUCACUUCAUUAUUCUGCAGACAGGGAUGACAGAGCACGUGAUUUGGCAUAGUCAGUUUUAGGCUAGCUAGAAAUGAACUGCACAAUAUUUAAACCUGAUUAAGUACAUAAUAGGCUCAGCAACGGAUUACGUUUCUCCUUACAGUUUAUACAUUUAUAUACACACAUACACAGACAGGCGUUUUAUCAUUAGCUGCAUUUUAGUCUUGUCAAGAGACAACUACCUACUGCCAAAUGACUGAAGUGAUACUCAGAAAGGAAACUAUUCUUGGUGUGCUUUGCUGGGAAAAAAAAAAUAAAAGAUAAAUUCCAGUUUGGUGCCAUCCCCGUGGGCAGAUCUCACAUCCUGGCACUGCUGAACUGCUGGGGGGGGCAGGCAGGGGCACAGCACCUGCAGUGCCAGCAUUUUUGGGGCACCCAUGGGGCAGGAGGUGGUGGAGCCGAAGGGCUGCAUUCCCUUUUGGGCUGCUUUUCUAGGACUUGGAGGAAAAAAAAUAGUUGUUUAAAGUGCAUUUAGAGUCUGAAAAGCAUCUCUGAGAAGGAGCUUUCCCUCCCUCCUCCUGCCCCACAAUGUCCAUUUGCUCCCCAUUUACAAACCAGCCCUGAGCCCUGCUGCCUCCCUGCAAGCCCCUCACUGGAAGCCCGACCUCCCCAGACUGGGCAGGAUUUGGGGGCUGGUGGACCGGGGGGACUCAUUCUUGCAAAGGAUCCUAGUAGAGCCAGGCAGCCAAGCUUCACUGUGCUUUGUAGGAGCACGAGCAAGGAGUCACUCCCACCAGCCCAGAGCUUCCCUAAAGAGCUGCGAGCCAACAGGGAGAAGUAUUGGCCUCGUUAUUUACAGCAUCGGCGGGGCUGGUUGUAUGUGGGGUGGCAAGAUUGCACCAAAAAUAGGUCCCACGAGAAACACUCUGCCAGUUUUAGUUUUGAAAUAGAAGCCUUUAGAAAACAGGUCCAGGAUACAGGACCAGGCUGGUCUCACCCCCCAGAGAAAACCUGUCCUCACUCCCCAACACGCACGCACCCAUGCACACAGCAGCUUUCAUCUGCAGCCACGCAAAAAUAAUACUGCUCUUCCACAGCAAAAUGUAAACUACACAUUUACAACACCACGCACUGAGAGAAGGUGGAUGGAGAUCCUGAGCCAGGGAUUGGAUUAGGAAUCUCUUGGCUUCCAGCAUGUCAACAGCAGGAUUGAAGGGUUCUCUCUCUCCUGUUUUAAAAAUCAGCUAAAACAGCUUUUUUUUUUUUUUUUUAAUGGCUAAACCAGCCACCUGCUAGUUAAAAAGCAGAAGAAAAGAAUUCCCAGGAUUGCUUGCCCUUGCUGAGACAACGGCAGAUUGCUGGAUACUACCAAGUGAAAGAAAACUCACACGUCAGAAACCUGUAGUUCAGCUCUUAUUUAGGGGGAGAUGGGUGCUGGUCACUACUUUGUAAUCUUUCCCUUUUUGGGGGGGCUUUUGGCUGAUGUAGUUCUAACACACACCUAUCACCACAGGAAUUAAAAAGUCACCACCGUGCACUAUUUCACAGGGAAAAGAAGACACAGGAAUGUACACGUACUAUCACGCACAGCACGAGUCCUGCAGGUCAGCUCACAGCCUCUUCAGAAUGAGAAAUAAAAGAGAAAUAACAGAGAAGGAGCUCAAGGUGAUGGUGGGGAAAAGGGGGAAAAAAAGGAA